GACGAACGCUGGCGGCGUGCUUAACACAUGCAAGUCGAACGGAGAGGCCCUGCUUUUGUGGGGCGCUCGAGUGGCGAACGGGUGAGUAACACGUGAGUAACCUGCCCUUGACUUUGGGAUAACUUCAGGAAACUGGGGCUAAUACCGGAUAGGAGCUCCUGCUGCAUGGUGGGGGUUGGAAAGUUUCGGCGGUUGGGGAUGGACUCGCGGCUUAUCAGCUUGUUGGUGGGGUAGUGGCUUACCAAGGCUUUGACGGGUAGCCGGCCUGAGAGGGUGACCGGCCACAUUGGGACUGAGAUACGGCCCAGACUCCUACGGGAGGCAGCAGUGGGGAAUAUUGCACAAUGGGCGGAAGCCUGAUGCAGCAACGCCGCGUGCGGGAUGACGGCCUUCGGGUUGUAAACCGCUUUCGCCUGUGACGAAGCGUGAGUGACGGUAAUGGGUAAAGAAGCACCGGCUAACUACGUG
This 468-nucleotide ribosomal RNA is filed under the name uncultured bacterium. Its description in RNAcentral is "partial 16S ribosomal RNA". It matches the Rfam family "Bacterial small subunit ribosomal RNA", at positions 28 to 507 of the family's 1533-position model. The record is from RNAcentral.